ACUCGAGUGGCGAACGGGUGGGUAACACGUGGGUGAUCUGCCCUGCACUUCGGGAUAAGCCUGGGAAACUGGGUCUAAUACCGGAUAGGAGCCAUUUUUAGUGUGAUGGUUGGAAAGUUUUUUCGGUGUAGGAUGAGCUCGCGGCCUAUCAGCUUGUUGGUGGGGUAAUGGCCUACCAAGGCGGCGACGGGUAGCCGGCCUGAGAGGGUGGACGGCCACAUUGGGACUGAGAUACGGCCCAG
RNAcentral lists this ribosomal RNA (242 nucleotides) under uncultured Actinomycetales bacterium. RNAcentral describes it as "partial 16S ribosomal RNA". It matches the Rfam family "Bacterial small subunit ribosomal RNA", at positions 89 to 334 of the family's 1533-position model. Lineage: Bacteria; Bacillati; Actinomycetota; Actinomycetes; Actinomycetales. The record is from RNAcentral.